This 492-nucleotide ribosomal RNA is filed under the name uncultured bacterium. RNAcentral's name for it is "partial 16S ribosomal RNA". It matches the Rfam family "Bacterial small subunit ribosomal RNA", at positions 29 to 507 of the family's 1533-position model. The record is from RNAcentral.
AGUGAACGCUGGCGGUAGGCCUAACACAUGCAAGUCGAACGGCAGCACAGUAAGAGCUUGCUCUUACGGGUGGCGAGUGGCGGACGGGUGAGGAAUACAUCGGAAUCUACUUUUUCGUGGGGGAUAACGUAGGUAAACUUACGCUAAUACCGCAUACGACCUACGGGUGAAAGCAGGGGAUCUUCGGACCUUGCGCGAUUGAAUGAGCCGAUGUCGGAUUAGCUAGUUGGCGGGGUAAAGGCCCACCAAGGCGACGAUCCGUAGCUGGUCUGAGAGGAUGAUCAGCCACACUGGAACUGAGACACGGUCCAGACUCCUACGGGAGGCAGCAGUGGGGAAUAUUGGACAAUGGGCGCAAGCCUGAUACAGCCAUACCGCGUGGGUGAAGAAGGCCUUCGGGUUGUAAAGCCCUUUUGUUGGGAAAGAAAAGCAGCAGGCUAAUACCCAGCUGUUCUGACGGUACCCAAAGAAUAAGCACCGGCUAACUUCGUG